RNAcentral lists this ribosomal RNA (1381 nucleotides) under uncultured bacterium. RNAcentral describes it as "bacterial SSU rRNA". It matches the Rfam family "Bacterial small subunit ribosomal RNA", at positions 18 to 1394 of the family's 1533-position model. The record is from RNAcentral.
CCUGGCUCAGGAUGAACGCUAGCUACAGGCUUAACACAUGCAAGUCGAGGGGCAGCAUGGUCUUAGCUUGCUAAGGCCGAUGGCGACCGGCGCACGGGUGAGUAACACGUAUCCAACCUGCCGUCUACUCUUGGACAGCCUUCUGAAAGGAAGAUUAAUACAAGAUGGCAUCAUGAGUCCGCAUGUUCACAUGAUUAAAGGUAUUCCGGUAGACGAUGGGGAUGCGUUCCAUUAGAUAGUAGGCGGGGUAACGGCCCACCUAGUCUUCGAUGGAUAGGGGUUCUGAGAGGAAGGUCCCCCACAUUGGAACUGAGACACGGUCCAAACUCCUACGGGAGGCAGCAGUGAGGAAUAUUGGUCAAUGGGCGAGAGCCUGAACCAGCCAAGUAGCGUGAAGGAUGACUGCCCUAUGGGUUGUAAACUUCUUUUAUAAAGGAAUAAAGUCGGGUAUGCAUACCCGUUUGCAUGUACUUUAUGAAUAAGGAUCGGCUAACUCCGUGCCAGCAGCCGCGGUAAUACGGAGGAUCCGAGCGUUAUCCGGAUUUAUUGGGUUUAAAGGGAGCGUAGAUGGAUGUUUAAGUCAGUUGUGAAAGUUUGCGGCUCAACCGUAAAAUUGCAGUUGAUACUGGAUAUCUUGAGUGCAGUUGAGGCAGGCGGAAUUCGUGGUGUAGCGGUGAAAUGCUUAGAUAUCACGAAGAACUCCGAUUGCGAAGGCAGCCUGCUAAGCUGCAACUGACAUUGAGGCUCGAAAGUGUGGGUAUCAAACAGGAUUAGAUACCCUGGUAGUCCACACGGUAAACGAUGAAUACUCGCUGUUUGCGAUAUACAGCAAGCGGCCAAGCGAAAGCGUUAAGUAUUCCACCUGGGGAGUACGCCGGCAACGGUGAAACUCAAAGGAAUUGACGGGGGCCCGCACAAGCGGAGGAACAUGUGGUUUAAUUCGAUGAUACGCGAGGAACCUUACCCGGGCUUAAAUUGCAGAUGAAUUACGGUGAAAGCCGUAAGCCGCAAGGCAUCUGUGAAGGUGCUGCAUGGUUGUCGUCAGCUCGUGCCGUGAGGUGUCGGCUUAAGUGCCAUAACGAGCGCAACCCUUGUUGUCAGUUACUAACAGGUUCCGCUGAGGACUCUGACAAGACUGCCAUCGUAAGAUGUGAGGAAGGUGGGGAUGACGUCAAAUCAGCACGGCCCUUACGUCCGGGGCUACACACGUGUUACAAUGGGGGGUACAGAGGGCCGCUACCACGCGAGUGGAUGCCAAUCCCAAAAACCUCUCUCAGUUCGGACUGGAGUCUGCAACCCGACUCCACGAAGCUGGAUUCGCUAGUAAUCGCGCAUCAGCCACGGCGCGGUGAAUACGUUCCCGGGCCUUGUACACACCGCC